RNAcentral lists this ribosomal RNA (633 nucleotides) under Clostridioides difficile. Its description in RNAcentral is "bacterial SSU rRNA". It matches the Rfam family "Bacterial small subunit ribosomal RNA", at positions 221 to 873 of the family's 1533-position model. Lineage: Bacteria; Bacillati; Bacillota; Clostridia; Peptostreptococcales; Peptostreptococcaceae. The record is from RNAcentral.
CAGGAUGGACCCGCGUCUGAUUAGCUAGUUGGUAAGGUAACGGCUUACCAAGGCGACGAUCAGUAGCCGACCUGAGAGGGUGAUCGGCCACAUUGGAACUGAGACACGGUCCAAACUCCUACGGGAGGCAGCAGUGGGGAAUAUUGCACAAUGGGCGAAAGCCUGAUGCAGCAACGCCGCGUGAGUGAUGAAGGCCUUCGGGUCGUAAAACUCUGUCCUCAAGGAAGAUAAUGACGGUACUUGAGGAGGAAGCCCCGGCUAACUACGUGCCAGCAGCCGCGGUAAUACGUAGGGGGCUAGCGUUAUCCGGAUUUACUGGGCGUAAAGGGUGCGUAGGCGGUCUUUCAAGUCAGGAGUGAAAGGCUACGGCUCAACCGUAGUAAGCUCUUGAAACUGGGAGACUUGAGUGCAGGAGAGGAGAGUGGAAUUCCUAGUGUAGCGGUGAAAUGCGUAGAUAUUAGGAGGAACACCAGUUGCGAAGGCGGCUCUCUGGACUGUAACUGACGCUGAGGCACGAAAGCGUGGGGAGCAAACAGGAUUAGAUACCCUGGUAGUCCACGCUGUAAACGAUGAGUACUAGGUGUCGGGGGUUACCCCCUUCGGUGCCGCAGCUAACGCAUUAAGUACUCCGCC